CAGAGUUUUUGAACUACUUUUUCCAAAUUUGCUCACACUUCCAGCAUAGGACUAUUUUUUUCUGAUACUACAAAGUGACCUGCUGAAAAAUCUGCCAGAAAUUGCAGGAGAACCUGCCUGGCUGGAACUGAAGGGGACUGAAGCAAGAGGUGUUCUGAACAUGGUAGCUCAGCUCAACUGAUGUAAAGAAAUUCACAGAAGUCCAUUUGCCUGGUAAAGCUGCAGUGGGGACAAUUAGUGUCACAGCAAUUACAAUUAUAGGAAUUGGUUCUACAGACUUGGUGCUCUGUCUACUUUAUGCUUGCAUUUGAACACUGCUAAUAUAUGACAGAGAAUAAUUCUGUAUGUAUGAAAUGCAGACUGAUGUUUUCCUUUGUGUCCAGUGUAUGUUUUGCUUCCAAAGGAAGGAAAAUGCAUUAUAAAAAUGUCUUCUUUAUGCUUCCCUGUAAAGUGCUAGCUUCCUGCAUAUCAUGGAUGUAUUUGCAUUUUGUUCAUUUGGAAACUGAGGUUUGGAAUGAAUGGACAUAUCUGAGGUGAGGCAGUAAGUUGGUGUUACAAAUGAGUGUAUGAGAUCACUUUAAAAAAAUCACUGGCAAGGGUAUGAGCAAAAGUCAGAUUUGAUCCUUUUAAGAGACUUUAAAAUCCAUUCCCCUUUAUCCUGCAUAGCAGUGUUACCAUGACAGCUGACAGUCACAGAGAGGACAGCAUACCUGGGUUAUUAUGAGCUUGGUUAAAAAUUGUAACUCAGUGAAGUUCCCUAUCCUGCAGUCAAAGGUACUGCUGGAAACACCGCCAUCCCUCUUUGCCCUGCACUCCAUCCCCUGUUCAUGUAAUUAUAU
This is a long non-coding RNA of Parus major (Great Tit), 839 nucleotides long. RefSeq lists it as uncharacterized. The record is from RefSeq and is a predicted model, not a curated record. NCBI's taxonomy places the organism in Eukaryota, Metazoa, Chordata, Aves, Passeriformes, Paridae. The transcript has 2 exons.